AUACGGAGGGUGCAAGCGUUACUCGGAAUCACUGGGCGUAAAGCGCGCGCAGGCGGGCUGAUAAGUUGGAUGUGAAAGCCGACGGCUCAACCGUAGAACUGCAUCCAAAACUGUCAGUCUAGAGUGUGGGAGAGGAAGAUGGAAUUAGUUGUGUAGGGGUAAAAUUCGUAGAGAUAACUAGGAAUACCAAAAGCGAAGGCAAUCUUCUGGAACACUACUGACGCUGAGGCGCGAAGGCGUGGGGAGCAAACAGGAUUAGAAACCCUAGUAGUCC
This 274-nucleotide ribosomal RNA is filed under the name uncultured bacterium. RNAcentral's name for it is "partial 16S ribosomal RNA". It matches the Rfam family "Bacterial small subunit ribosomal RNA", at positions 523 to 796 of the family's 1533-position model. The record is from RNAcentral.